RNAcentral lists this ribosomal RNA (316 nucleotides) under uncultured bacterium. RNAcentral's name for it is "bacterial SSU rRNA". It matches the Rfam family "Bacterial small subunit ribosomal RNA", at positions 474 to 796 of the family's 1533-position model. The record is from RNAcentral.
UUUNNCGGCCGCGAAUNCGCCCUUUGCCAGCAGCCCGCGGUAAUACGAAGGGGGCUAGCGUUGCUCGGAAUCACUGGGCGUAAAGGGCGCGUAGGNNGUCUUUUAAGUCGGGGGUGAAAGCCUGUGGCUCAACCACAGAAUUGCCUUCGAUACUGGGAGACUUGAGUUCGGAAGAGGUUGGUGGAACUGCGAGUGUAGAGGUGAAAUUCGUAGAUAUUCGCAAGAACACCGGUGGCGAAGGCGGCCAACUGGUCCGACACUGACGCUGAGGCGCGAAAGCGUGGGGAGCAAACAGGAUUAGAUACCCUGGUAGUCC